Molecule: ribosomal RNA, 254 nt
Filed under: uncultured bacterium
Lineage: Bacteria
Description: partial 16S ribosomal RNA
Rfam family: Bacterial small subunit ribosomal RNA
Source: RNAcentral
UACGUAGGGGGCGAGCGUUGUCCGGAUUCAUUGGGCGUAAAGAGCUCGUAGGCGGUUUGGCAAGUCGGAUGUGAAAUCUCUGGGCUCAACUCAGAGAGGCCAUUCGAGACUGCUAUGACUAGAGUCCGGUAGGGGACCAUGGAAUUCCUGGUGUAGCGGUGAAAUGCGCAGAUAUCAGAAGGAACACCGGUGGCGAAGGCGAUGGUCUGGACCGGCACUGACGCUGAGGAGCGAAAGCGUGAGGAGCAAACAGG